UACGAGGGGGGCGAGCGUUGUCCGGAAUCACUGGGCGUAAAGGGCGCGUAGGCGGCUGGGGAAGUCGGCGGUGAAAGCCCGGAGCUCAACUCCGGGUCGACCGUCGAGACUCCUCGACUCGAGCUCACUAGAGGCAGAUGGAAUUCCGGGUGUAGCGGUGGAAUGCGUAGAGAUCCGGAAGAACACCGGUGGCGAAGGCGGUCUGCUGGGGUGAGGCUGACGCUCAUGCACGACAGCGUGGGGAUCAAACAGG
This 253-nucleotide ribosomal RNA is filed under the name uncultured bacterium. RNAcentral's name for it is "partial 16S ribosomal RNA". It matches the Rfam family "Bacterial small subunit ribosomal RNA", at positions 524 to 776 of the family's 1533-position model. The record is from RNAcentral.